RNAcentral lists this long non-coding RNA (460 nucleotides) under Cercocebus atys (sooty mangabey). Its description in RNAcentral is "lncRNA (ENSCATG00000045405.1)". Lineage: Eukaryota; Metazoa; Chordata; Mammalia; Primates; Cercopithecidae. The record is from RNAcentral.
CAACUCUUUCUACCUUUCUAUUAUCUGUGAUAUCCAUUCAUCUCUCUCUCUCUCUCUUUCUCUCUCUAUUAUUUAUCUAAUCUGUCUGUCAUCUCUGCAUCCACCCAACAGUCUGUCUGUCUACACAUCACACACGAAGUGAAAGAACGUGCUUGGGAAUGGUCAACACCUGAAGCAGGAGAGGGGACCUCAGGAGAGGAUCCUGGAGGAGCGCGCAUGGACUUCUGCCGGUCUGUUUAAGCUCUUGGCCUUCACAGAGAGCCAGGCACCCUGAAUACAGAGCAUUCUACCCACGGGACCAGAUGGUGACAGGGGAGGAAAGGCUGUCACAGGGCCUUGCAGUCAGGUGGACAAAUAGCAGCUGUGGACACAAACAUCUUCUGGUAAAACACUCUCAAAAGUUGCUGCAGUAAGAGUUAAAUGUUAAUGCUGAGUUGCGUUUUUUGUUUUGAAAGUUUUG